CAGGUUUACCUGUGUGACUGCGUACCUUUUGUAUAAUGGGUCAGCGACUUAUAUUCUGUAGCAAGGUUAACCGCAUAGGGGAGCCGGAGGGAAACCGAGUCUUAAUUGGGCGUUAAGUUGCAGGGUAUAGACCCGAAACCCGGUGAUCUAGCCAUGGGCAGGUUGAAGGUUGGGUAACACUAACUGGAGGACCGAACCGACUAAUGUUGAAAAAUUAGCGGAUGACCUGUGGCUGGGGGUGAAAGGCCAAUCAAACCGGGAGAUAGCUGGUUCUCCCCGAAAGCUAUUUAGGUAGCGCCUCGUGAAUUCAUCUCCGGGGGUAGAGCACUGUUUCGGCUAGGGGGCCAUCCCGGCUUACCAACCCGAUGCAAACUGCGAAUACCGGAGAAUGUUAUCACGGGAGACACACGGCGGGUGCUAACGUCCGUCGUGAAGAGGGAAACAACCCAGACCGCCAGCUAAGGUCCCAAAGUCAUGGUUAAGUGGGAAACGAUGUGGGAAGGCCCAGACAGCCAGGAUGUUGGCUUAGAAGCAGCCAUCAUUUAAAGAAAGCGUAAUAGCUCACUGGUCGAGUCGGCCUGCGCGGAAGAUGUAACGGGGCUAAACCAUGCACCGAAGCUGCGGCAGCGACGCUUAUGCGUUGUUGGGUAGGGGAGCGUUC
RNAcentral lists this ribosomal RNA (661 nucleotides) under Salmonella enterica subsp. enterica serovar Kedougou. Its description in RNAcentral is "partial 23S ribosomal RNA". It matches the Rfam family "Bacterial large subunit ribosomal RNA", at positions 580 to 1241 of the family's 2925-position model. Lineage: Bacteria; Pseudomonadati; Pseudomonadota; Gammaproteobacteria; Enterobacterales; Enterobacteriaceae. The record is from RNAcentral.